This 605-nucleotide ribosomal RNA is filed under the name Kocuria sp. CMT250. Its description in RNAcentral is "bacterial SSU rRNA". It matches the Rfam family "Bacterial small subunit ribosomal RNA", at positions 271 to 885 of the family's 1533-position model. The record is from RNAcentral. Lineage: Bacteria; Bacillati; Actinomycetota; Actinomycetes; Micrococcales; Micrococcaceae.
AGGCGACGACGGGUAGCCGGCCUGAGAGGGUGACCGGCCACACUGGGACUGAGACACGGCCCAGACACCUACGGGAGGCAGCAGUGGGGAAUAUUGCACAAUGGGCGGAAGCCUGAUGCAGCGACGCCGCGUGAGGGAUGACGGCCUUCGGGUUGUAAACCUCUUUCAGCAGGGAAGAAGCCACAAGUGACGGUACCUGCAGAAGAAGCGCCGGCUAACUACGUGCCAGCAGCCGCGGUAAUACGUAGGGCGCAAGCGUUGUCCGGAAUUAUUGGGCGUAAAGAGCUCGUAGGCGGUUUGUCGCGUCUGCUGUGAAAGCCCGGGGCUCAACCCCGGGUCUGCAGUGGGUACGGGCAGACUAGAGUGCAGUAGGGGAGACUGGAAUUCCUGGUGUAGCGGUGAAAUGCGCAGAUAUCAGGAGGAACACCGAUGGCGAAGGCAGGUCUCUGGGCUGUUACUGACGCUGAGGAGCGAAAGCAUGGGGAGCGAACAGGAUUAGAUACCCUGGUAGUCCAUGCCGUAAACGUUGGGCACUAGGUGUGGGGGACAUUCCACGUUCUCCGCGCCGUAGCUAACGCAUUAAGUGCCCCGCCUGGGGAGUACGG